CCUACGGGAGGCAGCAGUGAGGAAUAUUGGUCAAUGGACGAGAGUCUGAACCAGCCAAGUAGCGUGAAGGAUGACUGCUCUAUGGGUUGUAAACUUCUUUUAUAUUGGAAUAAAAUGUUCCACGUGUGGGAUUUUGUAUGUACCAUUUGAAUAAGGAUCGGCUAACUCCGUGCCAGCAGCCGCGGUAAUACGGAGGAUCCGAGCGUUAUCCGGAUUUAUUGGGUGUAAAGGGAGCGUAGGUGGAUUGUUAAGUCAGUUGUGAAAGUUUGCGGCUCAACCGUAAAAGUGCAGUUGAAACUGGCAGUCUUGAGUGCAGUAGAGGUGGGCGGAAUUCGUGGUGUAGCGGUGAAAUGCUUAGAUAUCACGAAGAACUCCGGUUGCGAAGGCAGCUCACUGGACUGCAACUGACACUGAGGCUCGAAAGUGUGGGUAGCAAACAGGAUUAGAUACCCUAGUAGUC
Molecule: ribosomal RNA, 460 nt
Filed under: uncultured bacterium
Lineage: Bacteria
Description: partial 16S ribosomal RNA
Rfam family: Bacterial small subunit ribosomal RNA
Source: RNAcentral